Molecule: ribosomal RNA, 502 nt
Filed under: uncultured Clostridium sp.
Lineage: Bacteria; Bacillati; Bacillota; Clostridia; Eubacteriales; Clostridiaceae
Description: bacterial SSU rRNA
Rfam family: Bacterial small subunit ribosomal RNA
Source: RNAcentral
GCCCUUCGGGGCAGGGAGACAGGUGGUGCAUGGUUGUCGUCAGCUCGUGUCGUGAGAUGUUAGGUUAAGUCCUGCAACGAGCGCAACCCUUAUCAUUAGUUGCUACCAUUAAGUUGAGCACUCUAGUGAGACUGCCCGGGUUAACCGGGAGGAAGGUGGGGAUGACGUCAAAUCAUCAUGCCCCUUAUGUCUAGGGCUACACACGUGCUACAAUGGUGAGUACAGAAAGAUGCAAGACCGUGAGGUGGAGCAAAACUUUUAAAACUCAUCUCAGUUCGGAUUGUAGGCUGAAACUCGCCUACAUGAAGCUGGAGUUGCUAGUAAUCGCGAAUCAGCAUGUCGCGGUGAAUACGUUCCCGGGCCUUGUACACACCGCCCGUCACACCAUGAGAGCUGGCAACACCCGAAGUCCGUGAGGUAACCGUAAGGAGCCAGCGGCCGAAGGUGGGGUUAGUAAUUGGGGUGAAGUCGUAACAAGGUAGCCGUAGGAGAACCUGCGGCU